UCUGGGUUUAUCCCAGCGGUCCCGUCAGAGAAAUUUAACUGACGGCGAGGGUUGCGCUCGUUGCGGGACUUAACCCAACACCUCACGGCACGAGCUGACGACAGCCAUGCAGCACCUGUGCUAGCUCCCCGAAGGGUCCUUCACCUUUCGGAUCCGUACCACUAGCAUGUCAAGCCCAGGUAAGGUUCUUCGCGUUGCGUCGAAUUAAACCACAUGCUCCGCUGCUUGUGCGGGUCCCCGUCAAUUCCUUUGAGUUUUAGCCUUGCGGCCGUACUCCCCAGGCGGGGCACUUAAUGCGUUAGCUUCGCUACCGGAGGGGUCGAUACCCCCGACAGCUAGUGCUCAUCGUUUACGGCGUGGACUAC
Molecule: unclassified non-coding RNA, 365 nt
Filed under: uncultured bacterium
Lineage: Bacteria
Description: contains 16S-23S intergenic spacer region
Source: RNAcentral